Molecule: ribosomal RNA, 253 nt
Filed under: uncultured bacterium
Lineage: Bacteria
Description: partial 16S ribosomal RNA
Rfam family: Bacterial small subunit ribosomal RNA
Source: RNAcentral
UACGGAGGGUGCAAGCGUUAUCCGGAUUCACUGGGUUUAAAGGGUGCGUAGGUGGGCAGGUAAGUCAGUGGUGAAAUCUCCGGGCUUAACUCGGAAACUGCCAUUGAUACUAUCUGUCUUGAAUACCGUGGAGGUCAGCGGAAUAUGUCAUGUAGCGGUGAAAUGCUUAGAUAUGACAUAGAACACCAAUUGCGAAGGCAGCUGGCUACACAAAUAUUGACACUGAGGCACGAAAGCGUGGGGAUCAAACAGG